GGUUAAGCGACUAAGCGUACACGGUGGAUGCCCUGGCAGUCAGAGGCGAUGAAGGACGUGCUAAUCUGCGAUAAGCGUCGGUAAGGUGAUAUGAACCGUUAUAACCGGCGAUUUCCGAAUGGGGAAACCCAGUGUGUUUCGACACACUAUCAUUAACUGAAUCCAUAGGUUAAUGAGGCGAACCGGGGGAACUGAAACAUCUAAGUACCCCGAGGAAAAGAAAUCAACCGAGAUUCCCCCAGUAGCGGCGAGCGAACGGGGAGCAGCCCAGAGCCUGAAUCAGUGUGUGUGUUAGUGGAAGCGUCUGGAAAGGCGCGCGAUACAGGGUGACAGCCCCGUACACAAAAAUACACAUAUUGUGAGCUCGAUGAGUAGGGCGGGACACGUGGUAUCCUGUCUGAAUAUGGGGGGACCAUCCUCCAAGGCUAAAUACUCCUGACUGACCGAUAGUGAACCAGUACCGUGAGGGAAAGGCGAAAAGAACCCCGGCGAGGGGAGUGAAAAAGAACCUGAAACCGUGUACGUACAAGCAGUGGGAGCACGCUUAGGCGUGUGACUGCGUACCUUUUGUAUAAUGGGUCAGCGACUUAUAUUCUGUAGCAAGGUUAACCGAAUAGGGGAGCCGAAGGGAAACCGAGUCUUAACUGGGCGUUAAGUUGCAGGGUAUAGACCCGAAACCCGGUGAUCUAGCCAUGGGCAGGUUGAAGGUUGGGUAACACUAACUGGAGGACCGAACCGACUAAUGUUGAAAAAUUAGCGGAUGACUUGUGGCUGGGGGUGAAAGGCCAAUCAAACCGGGAGAUAGCUGGUUCUCCCCGAAAGCUAUUUAGGUAGCGCCUCGUGAAUUCAUCUCCGGGGGUAGAGCACUGUUUCGGCAAGGGGGUCAUCCCGACUUACCAACCCGAUGCAAACUGCGAAUACCGGAGAAUGUUAUCACGGGAGACACACGGCGGGUGCUAACGUCCGUCGUGAAGAGGGAAACAACCCAGACCGCCAGCUAAGGUCCCAAAGUCAUGGUUAAGUGGGAAACGAUGUGGGAAGGCCCAGACAGCCAGGAUGUUGGCUUAGAAGCAGCCAUCAUUUAAAGAAAGCGUAAUAGCUCACUGGUCGAGUCGGCCUGCGCGGAAGAUGUAACGGGGCUAAACCAUGCACCGAAGCUGCGGCAGCGACACUAUGUGUUGUUGGGUAGGGGAGCGUUCUGUAAGCCUGCGAAGGUGUACUGUGAGGUAUGCUGGAGGUAUCAGAAGUGCGAAUGCUGACAUAAGUAACGAUAAAGCGGGUGAAAAGCCCGCUCGCCGGAAGACCAAGGGUUCCUGUCCAACGUUAAUCGGGGCAGGGUGAGUCGACCCCUAAGGCGAGGCCGAAAGGCGUAGUCGAUGGGAAACAGGUUAAUAUUCCUGUACUUGGUGUUACUGCGAAGGGGGGACGGAGAAGGCUAUGUUGGCCGGGCGACGGUUGUCCCGGUUUAAGCGUGUAGGCUGGUUUUCCAGGCAAAUCCGGAAAAUCAAGGCUGAGGCGUGAUGACGAGGCACUACGGUGCUGAAGCAACAAAUGCCCUGCUUCCAGGAAAAGCCUCUAAGCAUCAGGUAACAUCAAAUCGUACCCCAAACCGACACAGGUGGUCAGGUAGAGAAUACCAAGGCGCUUGAGAGAACUCGGGUGAAGGAACUAGGCAAAAUGGUGCCGUAACUUCGGGAGAAGGCACGCUGAUAUGUAGGUGAAGCGACUUGCUCGUGGAGCUGAAAUCAGUCGAAGAUACCAGCUGGCUGCAACUGUUUAUUAAAAACACAGCACUGUGCAAACACGAAAGUGGACGUAUACGGUGUGACGCCUGCCCGGUGCCGGAAGGUUAAUUGAUGGGGUCAGCGCAAGCGAAGCUCUUGAUCGAAGCCCCGGUAAACGGCGGCCGUAACUAUAACGGUCCUAAGGUAGCGAAAUUCCUUGUCGGGUAAGUUCCGACCUGCACGAAUGGCGUAAUGAUGGCCAGGCUGUCUCCACCCGAGACUCAGUGAAAUUGAACUCGCUGUGAAGAUGCAGUGUACCCGCGGCAAGACGGAAAGACCCCGUGAACCUUUACUAUAGCUUGACACUGAACAUUGAGCCUUGAUGUGUAGGAUAGGUGGGAGGCUUUGAAGUGUGGACGCCAGUCUGCAUGGAGCCGACCUUGAAAUACCACCCUUUAAUGUUUGAUGUUCUAACGUUGACCCGUAAUCCGGGUUGCGGACAGUGUCUGGUGGGUAGUUUGACUGGGGCGGUCUCCUCCUAAAGAGUAACGGAGGAGCACGAAGGUUGGCUAAUCCUGGUCGGACAUCAGGAGGUUAGUGCAAUGGCAUAAGCCAGCUUGACUGCGAGCGUGACGGCGCGAGCAGGUGCGAAAGCAGGUCAUAGUGAUCCGGUGGUUCUGAAUGGAAGGGCCAUCGCUCAACGGAUAAAAGGUACUCCGGGGAUAACAGGCUGAUACCGCCCAAGAGUUCAUAUCGACGGCGGUGUUUGGCACCUCGAUGUCGGCUCAUCACAUCCUGGGGCUGAAGUAGGUCCCAAGGGUAUGGCUGUUCGCCAUUUAAAGUGGUACGCGAGCUGGGUUUAGAACGUCGUGAGACAGUUCGGUCCCUAUCUGCCGUGGGCGCUGGAGAACUGAGGGGGGCUGCUCCUAGUACGAGAGGACCGGAGUGGACGCAUCACUGGUGUUCGGGUUGUCAUGCCAAUGGCACUGCCCGGUAGCUAAAUGCGGAAGAGAUAAGUGCUGAAAGCAUCUAAGCACGAAACUUGCCCCGAGAUGAGUUCUCCCUGACCCUUUAAGGGUCCUGAAGGAACGUUGAAGACGACGACGUUGAUAGGCCGGGUGUGUAAGCGCAGCGAUGCGUUGAGCUAACCGGUACUAAUGAACCGUGAGGCUUAACCUU
RNAcentral lists this ribosomal RNA (2903 nucleotides) under Escherichia coli. Its description in RNAcentral is "23S ribosomal RNA". It matches the Rfam family "Bacterial large subunit ribosomal RNA". Lineage: Bacteria; Pseudomonadati; Pseudomonadota; Gammaproteobacteria; Enterobacterales; Enterobacteriaceae. The record is from RNAcentral.